This 299-nucleotide unclassified non-coding RNA is filed under the name Hevea brasiliensis (rubber tree). Lineage: Eukaryota; Viridiplantae; Streptophyta; Magnoliopsida; Malpighiales; Euphorbiaceae. The record is from RNAcentral.
AAGCUAAACUCAAUUAGCAGAGGUAGAUGCAAUGUGUAUUAAGGUCUUUAAUAUUACUGUUCUACCUGUUGGCUGAUCCAAGCGGCUAGCAAGGCAGCAAAUGCUUUAUAUGCAGUGUUAUUAAAGGUUCCAAAAGGUGCCUGAUGAGGCUGCCUUGCCUUGCCUGGGUGCACACCCCAGUUCAAGAGGCGAGUGCCUCUCUCACCAAGGUGCUAGGUGAGGCAAGGUGUGCCUCUUUUAAAGUAACUUUUAUUUUAUUUUAUUUUUAUUGUUAGGGUUUCUCUCCUUCUCUCCUCUUU